GGGAACACCUCAUGUCUAAAUCAUAAAACCAUCUGCAUAUGGUAUAUGAUGCUGGUACCACUGUGUUACCUUAGACAAAAUCUCUACCAUUUUAACAAACAAGAGAUACAACAGUGGGCAUAAUCCCACACCAUGUGCUGGACCUUCCAUGCUCCAUACCCACAAACUAAUGAAACCAUUGAACAACAAAAUGGAAAACUAAAAUAACAGUUAAAGAAGGGGCAUCAAGAUAGAUUGUUAGUAGGAUGGCAUUCUGGCCUCACUAGAAUCAUUUGGACACUCAACACUGUACACUAAUGAAAGAGAAACAGCACUGCAAUGCAUCUUGAUAAAUAUAAGUGUGGAGAAAAUGGAGGACCAGUUGGUCACCUGACUAGGCUAUGGCUGAGGCAUCCCAAUCUUGGUUUACCCAAACAUUCUUUUUCUCUUUUCCACUCUGAAACACUCUGCCCAGGGGUGGUUUGUGAUCCAUUCAGCUGUUAUGCCUUACAUAGCUCCUCAUGCUUCCUCACAGAGUGUUUACCUCCCUUAGAACCCUGAGGGAAAGGGGAAGAAAGCUAUAGAAUGUCAGAAUACCAGAAUUACCUCGGUUACAUCAGGAGUUCUCAACAGCCCUGUACAGGAGUAGAGGUUGAUGGUGCUGUAUAACAUGCAUACUUUGUACAGGACCUUACCUUAUUGCCUGGAUUCAGUGAUCACAGCAGUUCAAGGGACACAGCAAGGGCAAUGGAUUCAUCUCCAUUAGGAUACUUUGGACAAUUCAAACUUCAACUGAUGGAACAGGAGUUUCUCUAGCCGUCGAAGUUAUCAGGAGUGAGGGCAGAAGCUGGGGAGGAACACUGCCAUCUUUUUUCUCCUCUCAAAGACUCCUGAUAAUACUUGGGUUGACAACAACCUCAUCAAAAUCAGCACAUCCCUACAGAUAGUUUAAAACUCUUUGUGGCUUCCUUCCAUAGCCUCUGAUUCAUAUAUAUGAAGAUUCCUGAGCCUAGUAAACCCUCCAGAGCUGGGGUUGAGUCUCUCAAACUAAGAAACAGCUUGCAUUUUUUUUUCUAUUUGGAGAUGGGAUUUUACUGUUUCCCAAAUUGAACUCAAAACUGUUGGGCUCAAGCAGUCCUCCUGCCUCCUGGCUCUGGGACCACUGGUGCAUGCUGCUGUGCCUGGCUUUGAGGCCAUAGAACUUGCCUUAGGAUACAAGAGAGGGAGAACACAACUUUGCCUCUUCUGAAUAAGGCAAAUAUACCUCAGAGAUGCUCAAGGAUUGUGUUUAAGUAAACUUCAUAAUGCUAAUAGCAAUGAUUUAAUGAUACUAACAAGUAGG
Molecule: long non-coding RNA, 1321 nt
Filed under: Marmota monax (woodchuck)
Lineage: Eukaryota; Metazoa; Chordata; Mammalia; Rodentia; Sciuridae
Source: RNAcentral